Molecule: ribosomal RNA, 468 nt
Filed under: uncultured bacterium
Lineage: Bacteria
Description: partial 16S ribosomal RNA
Rfam family: Bacterial small subunit ribosomal RNA
Source: RNAcentral
GACGAACGCUGGCGGCGUGCUUAACACAUGCAAGUCGAACGGAAAGGCCCUGCUUUUGUGGGGUGCUCGAGUGGCGAACGGGUGAGUAACACGUGAGUAACCUGCCCUUGACUUUGGGAUAACUUCAGGAAACUGGGGCUAAUACCGGGUAGGAGCUCCUGCUGCAUGGUGGGGGUUGGAAAGUUUCGGCGGUUGGGGAUGGACUCGCGGCUUAUCAGCUUGUUGGUGGGGUAGUGGCUUACCAAGGCUUUGACGGGUAGCCGGCCUGAGAGGGUGACCGGCCACAUUGGGACUGAGAUACGGCCCAGACUCCAACAGGAGGCAGCAGUGGGGAAUAUUGCACAAUGGGCGGAAGCCUGGUGCAGCAACGCCGCGUGCGGGAUGACGGCCUUCGGGUUGUAAACCGCUUUCGCCUGUGACGAAGCGUGAGUGACGGUAAUGGGUAAAGAAGCACCGGCUAACUACGUG